GAAGAUGUAGCCCAGGGGUAGAGCACAUGCCUGGCACGCGUGAGGUCCUGGGUUCAGUCCUCAGUACCUCCA
This 72-nucleotide transfer RNA is filed under the name Camelus bactrianus (Bactrian camel). It matches the Rfam family "tRNA". Rfam says of the family: Transfer RNA (tRNA) molecules are approximately 80 nucleotides in length. Lineage: Eukaryota; Metazoa; Chordata; Mammalia; Artiodactyla; Camelidae. RNAcentral also lists the same sequence under 2 other names. The record is from Rfam by way of RNAcentral.